CUUACCUACCCUUGACAUGUCUAGAAGUUACCAGAGAUGGUUUCGUGCUCGAAAGAGAACUAGAACACAGGUGCUGCAUGGCCGUCGUCAGCUCGUGUCGUGAGAUGUUGGGUUAAGUCCCGCAACGAGCGCAACCCUUGUCAUUAGUUGCUACGUAAGGGCACUCUAAUGAGACUGCCGGUGACAAACCGUAGGAAGGUGGGGAUGACGUCAGGUCAUCAUGGCCCUUAUGGGUAGGGCUACACACGUCAUACAAUGGCCGGUACAGAGGGCUGCCAACCCGCGAGGUGGAGCCAAUCCCAGAAAACCGGUCGUAGUCCGGAUCGCAGUCUGCAACUCGACUGCGUGAAGUCGGAAUCGCUAGUAAUCGCGGAUCAGCUUGCCGCGGUGAAUACGUUCCCGGGUCUUGUACACACCGCCCGUCACACCAUGGGAGCGGGUUCUGCCAGAAGUAGUUAGCCUAACCGCAAGGGGGGGCGAUUACCACGGCAGGGUUCGUGACU
RNAcentral lists this ribosomal RNA (503 nucleotides) under Methylibium sp. BAC113P. RNAcentral's name for it is "bacterial SSU rRNA". It matches the Rfam family "Bacterial small subunit ribosomal RNA", at positions 970 to 1476 of the family's 1533-position model. The record is from RNAcentral. Lineage: Bacteria; Pseudomonadati; Pseudomonadota; Betaproteobacteria; Burkholderiales; Sphaerotilaceae.